UCUAACUUAAGAAAACACAUCUACGACUUGAGCUUUUCAGUCCCCUGGUCUGCUGUGAGUGGGUGUCACAGGGCGCUUCUUCAGCGACUCCGUCGCAGUGGCGAUAAAGGCAAUUACAUUUACAGUGUUGUCCGCAGAUGUCAUAAAUCUGAUGAUCCUGGAGAGUCCUACUGCCUAAAUUCCUGUUGCUCUUUUGUCUGUUAAAUAUUUGUGCCAUGCUACUGGGAAAUGCCUACAAUAUCACCAAAUGGAACAAUAAAUAUCCAGCAUGAAGGACCUUUGGCAGAGGGGCUGAGAGCAGGGUUGUUUUCGUGGGACUGCAGAUCCUUGCUAGUGCUCUCCUUAUCGUACUGAUCCUGUGGUGUGUCUCUUUCAGAGAGCACAGAGACUAGGAUAAACCCUGCUCUUGGCAUAUUGGAAAUCUGCUGUCACCAUAGCACCUGCAAUUCCCAACAGCUAAAUUUUGAAAUGAAGUGCAUGGCAGGUCAGCACCAUUUAAAAUUUAAAAAAGCCUGUUACUCCUUUCGUUCGUGCUGUACAAUCUGCUCUGGGAUUCUUGCACUCAGGGCUUCAUUUGGUCAAGAAAUUGUUUUACUGAAGCUGCCCUUUAAUCGUGUUUCAUUGAGAACACCUGCUGUGUGGUUACCAGCGACUAGUUAUUCACUACUUUUUCUAGCCAUUACUAUUCUCUUAUUGGGGAAUUUCUCUUAGGGGAUGUAUUUUUGCUGCUUUGUUUUUUAAAGAGGGUUUUGUUUUUAAGCCUUCUCAGGCUGUAUAAAGUUGACGACUUUUCAGGGUCACUGGGAGGGGAAAAAAUGGUCUCGUGUCACAAACAAGCCUUCCAAGGAUUGUGAUAAAAGUAGCAAGAGAGCUAACGAGAUAGUUAGGCAGCACAUGUCUCCAUGUGGGACUUUGUGGGCACAUUAUCCACGAGAAAAAAAUGCUACUUAUAAGUAACAAACUAAUUCCAUCAAACGAUUUAAUUUUUAAUCUGUGCCAUAUUUCAAAACAUUCCUUCAAAUUAAAUUUCAAUUGACACUAGAGUUGUUCUUAUGAAAUCUCUGGACAUAAAAUUGCCCACAGGUUAUAGUCGCAUCUUUGAAAUAUUCUGCGCUUAACAGACCGUAAACAGGGUCUUUCUCAUCCUUACCUCUUAUUGUGGAGUCAGGGUG
Long non-coding RNA from Chelonia mydas (Green sea turtle), 1172 nucleotides. RefSeq lists it as uncharacterized. The transcript has 5 exons. Lineage: Eukaryota; Metazoa; Chordata; Testudines; Cheloniidae. The record is from RefSeq and is a predicted model, not a curated record.